GUGCACGCUGGCGGUAGGCCUAACCCAUGCAAGUCGAACGGCAGCACAGUAAGAGCUUGCUCUUACGGGUGGCGAGUGGCGGACGGGUGAGGAAUACAUCGGAAUCUACUUUUUCGUGGGGGAUAACGUAGGGAAACUUACGCUAAUACCGCAUACGACCUACGGGUGAAAGCAGGGGAUCUUCGGACCUUGCGCGAUUGAAUGAGCCGAUGUCGGAUUAGCUAGUUGGCGGGGUAAAGGCCCACCAAGGCGACGAUCCGUAGCUGGUCUGAGAGGAUGACCAGCCACACUGGAACUGAGACACGGUCCAGACUCCUACGGGAGGCAGCAGUGGGGAAUAUUGGACAAUGGGCGCAAGCCUGAUCCAGCCAUACCGCGUGGGUGAAGAAGGCCUUCGGGUUGUAAAGCCCUUUUGUUGGGAAAGAAAAGCAGCAGGUUAAUACCCCGCUGUUCUGACGGUACCCAAAGAAUAAGCACCGGCUAACUUCGUG
Molecule: ribosomal RNA, 491 nt
Filed under: uncultured bacterium
Lineage: Bacteria
Description: partial 16S ribosomal RNA
Rfam family: Bacterial small subunit ribosomal RNA
Source: RNAcentral